This 465-nucleotide ribosomal RNA is filed under the name uncultured bacterium. RNAcentral's name for it is "partial 16S ribosomal RNA". It matches the Rfam family "Bacterial small subunit ribosomal RNA", at positions 338 to 795 of the family's 1533-position model. The record is from RNAcentral.
CCUACGGGGCGCAGCAGUAGGGAAUCUUCCACAAUGGGCGAAAGCCUGAUGGAGCAACGCCGCGUGGGUGAAGAAGGUCUUCGGAGCGUAAAACCCUGUUGUCAGAGAAGAAAGUGCGUGUGAGUAACUGUUCACGUUUCGACGGUAUCUAACCAGAAAGCCACGGCUAACUACGUGCCAGCAGCCGCGGUAAUACGUAGGUGGCAAGCGUUAUCCGGAUUUAUUGGGCGUAAAGGGAACGCAGGCGGUCUUUUAAGUCUGAUGUGAAAGCCUUCGGCUUAACCGGAGGAGUGCAUUGGAAACUGGGAGACGUGAGUGCAGAAGAGGAGAGUGGAACUCCAUGUGUAGCGGUGAAAUGCGUAGAUAUAUGGAAGAACACCAGUGGCGAAGGCGGCUCUCUGGUCUGUAACUGACGCUGAGGUUCGAAAGCGUGGGUAGCAAACAGGAUUAGAUACCCCUGUAGUC